RNAcentral lists this long non-coding RNA (1548 nucleotides) under Homo sapiens (human). Lineage: Eukaryota; Metazoa; Chordata; Mammalia; Primates; Hominidae. The record is from RNAcentral.
AAGAAGUCAGGAGUAGUUUGUCUGAUGGUAUUGGGAUCUGCUUUGCAAUUGCCAAGCGCUAAGGCACAAGCUGGCAGAUGUGCUGCGGCUCUGCUACGGGCGGCUCUGUCGCCUUCAGUCGCAGGCUGGUUCUUUGGGGGAAAGUUGUAUCCAAUAUUGGUGACUCCCGGGAAUAGUCUGUUUGUGUGCUACUUAAUGGUCUCUAGGCUUCCUUGUCUUGUAGAACCUUGUUAGAAAGGAGCCUUGGUGAUUAAGAGGCUAUGGAGUACACAGCCUUGCUUAGCAGAUGAGCCCUUAUCCAUUUCCCGUUUCCUUAAAAACGGCUAAUUGAUGGAUGCUGCAGAAAACAUGCACUCUGCUAAUAAGAUGCUGAUGACAAAAUAGGUAUCAGGAAAGGCAUUUACUGCUUAUGAGCACCAUCAGCUUUCUUUCGAGUGAGAUUGUGGCUUUGUAGUAAAGUUUUUUUUUAAGUAAUAUGCUAAUAGUUUUAUUCUAAAUCGGCCAGCGCUGAAUAUCUUCAGGAAAAUGGGUUCCAUGAGAAGUGACAUCCUCCUCGAAUCAAAAGAUUCUCAGGAUGAUGGAGUGAGUGAUGGAAUAGGUUGCCAACUGUAGUUACUCCACUCAGCACAGAAUGGCUGCGGGGAAAUAUAAUCAGACAUGCCCAAAGAAGUCUGCUUAGGGUGAAACAAAUACCUUUGAGGUUUAAAUCAGAAAGGAAGGAGAGACUGUUUCUACAGGUGUCAUACAAAAAUCAAUACUGAGCCAAGGAUUAUUGGAUCCCAUAGAACCACGGAGACUUGGUAGUGAAAUUCUUCCAAAGCAUUCCAUCCGUGCAGGCAGAUGGUGUUCCUAGGUUUGGAAAUAUAAAUCCCAUGGGAAGUCAGCUGAAGACCAUUUUAUGCAUCACUCAUCCUGUUAGAGCCCUGUGCUGUUCUGUCUCUCUAUAAGACUGGCUGAAACCACCACGGUUGUUUACAAUUUAUGCUCUAACUUUGGAUCACCUAGUUAAUACUCUAACUCCGAUUAUUACCAAAGACAAUGUUCUAUAAAAGAUAUUGUCUAUUAGAAGGAUGCUUCUGCAUUAUUAAUAAAAUCACAGGGAAAAUGCAACAUUUUGGAUGUCACAUCUGAUAAGUGGGUGACUGAUCGUACCCGCCAGCUGGCUAAUGUCAUAAUUAACAAAGUUGCUACUACAUCUGCAAAGUUUAAUCGAAAAAUUUGCCAGUGAUAUGAUGGCCUUGUCACAGAGAUCACAAGGGACACGGAGUUGACUUUUGCUCAAGGUGGAACGACAGAGCUGUGUAGGCAAGAUGAGAAAUUGCGAACUUGUUCGGCCAAAGGAACGACUAUGCUCUGGAGAGUCCUGUAAUUUGCAGAAAAUGGACCAAGAUAACAUUUGAGUUCCAUGCUACCAAAAUCCUCUUGAGAAGGACAGCUAGCUACCCAGAAUAUUUAACAUUGUGACAUUGAAAUGUUGGAUGAACGAUUAAAAUGAAGAAUCUAGUCAUAGGUUGUAAGAAAUCGCUAAAUUAUUAUGUUUAAUCCAAA